CUUGGGUUCGAUUCCGGAGAGGGAGCCUGAGAAACGGCUACCACAUCUAAGGAAGGCAGCAGGCGCGUAAAUUACCCAAUCCUGACACAGGGAGGUAGUGACAAGAAAUAUCAAUAUAAGACUUUUGUGUCUUGUAAUUGGGAUGAGCGGAACUUAAAUCGCUUCUCGAGUAUCAAUUGGAGGGCAAGUCUGGUGCCAGCAGCCGCGGUAAUUCCAGCUCCAAUAGCGUAUAUUAAAAUUGUUGCGGUUAAAACGCUCGUAGUUGGAUAUCUGUGAGCGGGUUCCGGUCCUUCCCAGUGAAGAUUACACGGAACUCUGCUCGCAUUCGUUCAGGGAGGGUGGAUGCACUUCACUGUGUGACCACAUGAUCUGAAUUUUUACUUUGAGGAAAUGAGAGUGUUCCAAGCAGGCAAUCGCCGUGAAUAUGAUAGCAUGGAAUAAUAGCACAGGACUCUUGGUUCAAUGCUGUUGGUUUGUUGGACUAGAGUAAUCACAAUAAGGAUAGUUGGGGGUAUUCGUAUUUAACUGUCAGAGGUGAAAUUCUUGGAUUUUUUAAAGACGAACAAUUGCGAAGGCAUCUACCCAGGAUGUUUUUGUUGAUCAAGAACGAAAGUUAGGGGAUCGAAGACGAUCAGAUACCGUCCUAGUCUUAACCUUAAACUAUGCCGGCUGGAGAUUGGGGUCGUCAGAUUUGUGACGUCCUCAGCAUCCUAUGAGAAAUCUAAGUCUUUGGGUUCCGGGGGGAGUAUGGUCGCAAGGCUGAAACUUAAAGGAAUUGACGGAAGGGCACCACCAGGAGUGGAGCCUGCGGCUUAA
RNAcentral lists this ribosomal RNA (816 nucleotides) under uncultured eukaryote. RNAcentral's name for it is "SSU rRNA". It matches the Rfam family "Eukaryotic small subunit ribosomal RNA", at positions 370 to 1193 of the family's 1831-position model. The record is from RNAcentral.